GUUCUUUUGUAAUUAAAUGGUGCAAAAACAAUACCAAAGUGAACAAAAAGUCUGAAGACAUAUCGUUUCACACGACCUACCGGAUGAGUCUAAAAUCAGUCGUUAACCAAGAUUCAAUCUUUGAUACACCUAGAAAACAUAAACUAAGAGAAAAGUAAAAAAAAAACAUGAACUUUAUUUUUAAAAAAAAUGUAAAAAAAUUAAAUCAUUACAGCAAAGAGUUAGACGUCUUUAAAAUAGGAACUUGCCCUUCAGAGGAAUCAUCAAUUACUUAAAAACGCAAUUUUCAUUGACACAGAUUUAUAUAAUUCAUUAAAUAAAAACAUGGCUGCAAUAGAUUUAUUUAACAAUUUGAAG
RNAcentral lists this unclassified non-coding RNA (357 nucleotides) under Melitaea cinxia (Glanville fritillary). RNAcentral's name for it is "misc RNA ENSMCXG00005013363.1". Lineage: Eukaryota; Metazoa; Arthropoda; Insecta; Lepidoptera; Nymphalidae. The record is from RNAcentral.